Long non-coding RNA from Hylaeus anthracinus, 3478 nucleotides. RefSeq lists it as uncharacterized. Lineage: Eukaryota; Metazoa; Arthropoda; Insecta; Hymenoptera; Colletidae. The transcript is spliced from 2 exons. The record is from RefSeq and is a predicted model, not a curated record.
AGCGGUGUUUUUUUGAAGCUACAGUACGGGCUUAGCAACCCCGAGGUACCCGAGCUAGAGAGGGGCCAGCGGGCUCCAAUAGAUGAGAAGUAAGAGAUACUGCAAACAGUAUUAAAACGAUGCAAGAGAGGAAUUAACCUGUAAUGAGAAAUAAAAUGCAUACGUAAGCAAAUAGAGAAAGUGACAGUGGAAUAGCUUUGCCAAUUGUAAAAAGCUGAUCACUUAAAUAAACGACUGAACUGAAUUGAACUGAUGAGCCGUAGGCAACACAGAUCGUCCUGAAUGGAAUCUUUCAUUUCUACAGUCGAUACUUGCUCCAUUCUAUGAAACUACAGUUGGGCGGCCAGAGAGCUCCAACAGACAUGCAUUGGAUUUGGACGUAAUGUGAAUGUAAUGUACGGCGUGGUGUUAUGAUAACGCGAACUGAGCCUUCAUUUACUGUAGAAUCCCAAAAUUAAGGAGUUACGUAAAACAAAGCAACGGAAAGAACUAUAUAGAUCAUAAUAUAAAAAUGAUGUAUGGGUUAUUGUUAUAAAAAAGACAAGGAUAUUUGAAACAAAUUUAGGCUCCCUUUUAUCUUCUACCAUUCGCUUUAAAAAUAUUUAUUGCCUACUAAAAGAUUAGCUCUCCAGUGUUCCAGUGUAGGAACAGAACCAGGGAUUAAUGUACGCACUGAUAACGGGUGAUCCGUGUGAAAAUAAACCACAAAAUGUCAAGUUGACGUCGGUCGAGCGACUCGACCGACCGUUUCGAAACUGUUGCAUUUAUUUACAUCAGUGAUUGCAAAGAAAUAUACACACGAAGCAGCGUUGUAAACGUACUUUUUCGUUCGUUGUUCCUUACUCAUGGAACGUACAUUCGCUCUCCUCGCCGAGAAACGAUUACUUUGCUCCAUUAUCGCGUUAUUAUUCGUCCAUCGUUUUACGUAAUAUUGCAUCAUCGAAAAUGGGGCGGGAGGAAGGGGGUCAUUGGCGCAGCCUUAAACUAAGUAAAUCGCUGGACAACUGUACCGCCGUACUACUGCCACUUACGUGUAUUUUUUUCAUUCUUCGUUUUAUUCCUUUUUUUUUUACAAUCUUUUUUUGUAUUUUUUUUUUUUUUGGUUCAUUUCACGAUGUCUCGUCGUAGGUUACUUGAACGCUGGUAAAAGGGCGAAACGCGCGCAACUAUCGGAUAGUAGAGUAUGAUAUAGUAAGGCGUUAUCGGACGAUCGUCGAUACCACAAUCAUCGGUUUAAUUUACAAAUGUGUCGGUGAACGUGUCUACUCGAUCGCGAUCGUUCGCAGGGAUGGGCGAAACUUUUGUUUUGAUACAAAUUUCGAAAAACGGAUAAAAGACGCGAAAGUACUUGACGUUUAUGUUUGAAGUUUGGUUCGUUUAUUCAUACACGCGUAUACAAGAACUCCUAAAACUUUCGAUUGCUCAGCUCAAUUCGUUUCGAAGUUACGUAGAAUGUUGCACGUCAUGUCCUUCUUAACCCUUUCAGACCUGGCGUCUGCAAUUAAGGACACAAAAUUAAAAAAUUACCGAAACUAUCGUUUAACUACACUGUUAGAAAUUUAAAAAAGAAUUUUUUUUUCACAGUAAUUUUAGUCCAAGUGAACCCUAAACAUUAAAUUUAGCAAGAAAAUAAUUCAGAUCUGAAAGUUCUUAGAAAAAGUCUCUCGUGAAACGUUAAAAUAUAGUACGAAUUGCAUUCGACUCCCCAUUGCAACCUUUUCAGGGUUCAACUGUUACACCAAUUACAUUUAACGAAUGAACUGCCAUACGUUGCUUUCAUUUGUCCGUUACUCGCGUGAAAGUUUGCCCAUCCCCGACCACUUGGCGAACAUUUUGUUCGGUCGAGCGAGGUGCUCCGUCGGAAAGGAACCGUUCGCACAGAAAUCCUUUGACGAGAAACCUCCUUCGUCGAAAAGAAAUAAAAUUAUUAGACCCUGGACCUCCUUGUAUACCGGGACACGUCUUUAAGACGCUACUUUCGAGAAUUACAAAAGAUUUUCGAGGGAAGAAGGUAGGUUCGAUUCAGUCAUCCCCAGACGGAGUGAUUCUUUUCUCUGCGAAGUCUCUGCGAAAACUGAAAGAGCGACAAACGUCUCAAAGCAUACAAGUUUCGGAUCCUUCUUUGGCCCGAAGCUGGCAAAGGUGCGCAGGAGACGUUGAAGUCUCUUUCAGCGUACAAAGUCACAGUACGUGACACAGAAACGAAAGCCCUUUGAGAUUUUCGGCUACAAGUCCUGUCCUCCCGGACCCGUGUAUUUUACAACGUUUCGUUUCUUUUUGGUCAGCUGGUAAGUCGUAGUGUCCAUCCAAUAGACAGGAGGAUAACAUACAUAAUAAAUAUUAACUCUUUGACUUCUACAGGAACAAUUUAUCUUUUCGUACUCGAAUAACUACAGCUUCGGCUUUUGAUAAAAAAGUUGAGGGAAUUUAUCAGUUUCAUUGUAGUUUCUUCAAACGAUCUACACUACUGGAAUAGGUGUAACUGAACUAUGGAUGUUCAUGCAAAUUCAUAUUUUCACAGAUACAAAACAAGAUUUGGAAUUUAAAUGAAAAUACCCUUCAUUUUUGCAUUUGCACAUCUCCUCACACAUACUCCAAUAGUUUCACUUAUCAUAAGUGCAUAAACAUGUUCAAUAACAGUUCUAUUCAAUGCAACACGAUGUCAAAGUGUUAAUAGACUUACCACUGUGCUCAAUACGAGUCCAGAAGAUUAUGUUUAACACUGUCAAAAUUUCAAUAUACCGCGUGUUUAUAGAAAAUUUGACAAGUUUCAACACCCUUCUAACCAAAAAUACGAAAAGUUCUGACUACGUCUCCUGCAUAGAAUUUUCUAUUUGACGAAGGGGUGCGCCCGUAUAUCAUCCACAACGGAACAACUUCCUUUCCGCGACAAAGGAACGAAACGUCGCCAAGAUUCGCGCGAGAUCGAUGGAUGAUCGGGCGAAAACUACUGCUGACGAAGGAAACGUCGUCAAUACCUAUGUAGAUCUAUUAUUACUCGUUACCUUUAAACGAAAAUCGCAGCGAUUUGUGCUGUGAGCAGCAACGGAGGAAAUCGAGUGGUUCACGCGUCUAUAGAGAAUGGUUUCGUAUAGCGACGGGACUGAAUCGUAGACACUCUCGGCACAGACGACGAAAGUGAACAAAGUGUCGUUUCGCAUCAAACCGUUUCGAUACCAGCGCGAGAGCACCGACACGAGUCAAUUGCAACAGCUCGUAUCUCCUUGGUAUCGAUUUUCGAUACGUCAAUAAUUCAGCAACGAGUGUUGCUUCCAGCGAACACCAGCGUCGGGCGAAGUCUAAUCUGGUUAUUAAUUACCAGACUGCGGAUGUUUAUGCAUUUAUGGUAAGUGAAAUUAUGGGAGAAUGUAUGAAAAUCCGCACAAAUACGAAAAUAUGUUAAUCAUAAACAAUAUUAUACAUGCUAUACCGUUUAGAAGAUGAAACAUGCUUCCGCUUGAGUUUCGAUUCAUUUCUG